GACGAACGCUGGCGGCGUGCUUAACACAUGCAAGUCGAACGGUAAGGCCCUUUCGGGGGUACACGAGUGGCGAACGGGUGAGUAACACGUGGGUGAUCUGCCCUGCACUUUGGGAUAAGCCUGGGAAACUGGGUCUAAUACCGGAUAGGACUACGCGAUGCAUGUCGUGUGGAGGAAAGCUUUUGCGGUGUGGGAUGGGCCCGCGGCCUAUCAGCUUGUUGGUGGGGUGAUGGCCUACCAAGGCGACGACGGGUAGCCGGCCUGAGAGGGUGUCCGGCCACACUGGGACUGAGAUACGGCCCAGACUCCUACGGGAGGCAGCAGUGGGGAAUAUUGCACAAUGGGCGCAAGCCUGAUGCAGCGACGCCGCGUGGGGGAUGACGGCCUUCGGGUUGUAAACCCCUUUCAGCACAGACGAAGCGUAAGUGACGGUAUGUGCAGAAGAAGCACCGGCCAACUACGUG
RNAcentral lists this ribosomal RNA (464 nucleotides) under uncultured bacterium. RNAcentral describes it as "partial 16S ribosomal RNA". It matches the Rfam family "Bacterial small subunit ribosomal RNA", at positions 28 to 507 of the family's 1533-position model. The record is from RNAcentral.